This 465-nucleotide ribosomal RNA is filed under the name Vreelandella stevensii. Its description in RNAcentral is "partial 16S ribosomal RNA". It matches the Rfam family "Bacterial small subunit ribosomal RNA", at positions 338 to 795 of the family's 1533-position model. The record is from RNAcentral. Lineage: Bacteria; Pseudomonadati; Pseudomonadota; Gammaproteobacteria; Oceanospirillales; Halomonadaceae.
CCUACGGGUGGCAGCAGUGGGGAAUAUUGGACAAUGGGGGGAACCCUGAUCCAGCCAUGCCGCGUGUGUGAAGAAGGCCCUCGGGUUGUAAAGCACUUUCAGUGAGGAAGAACGCCUGGUGGUUAAUACCCAUCAGGAAAGACAUCACUCACAGAAGAAGCACCGGCUAACUCCGUGCCAGCAGCCGCGGUAAUACGGAGGGUGUGAGCGUUAAUCGGAAUUACUGGGCGUAAAGCGCGCGUAGGUGGCUUGAUAAGCCGGUUGUGAAAGCCCCGGGCUCAACCUGGGAACGGCAUCCGGAACUGUCAAGCUAGAGUGCAGGAGAGGAAGGUAGAAUUCCCGGUGUAGCGGUGAAAUGCGUAGAGAUCGGGAGGAAUACCAGUGGCGAAGGCGGCCUUCUGGACUGACACUGACACUGAGGUGCGAAAGCGUGGGUAGCAAACAGGAUUAGAUACCCUAGUAGUC